This 581-nucleotide ribosomal RNA is filed under the name uncultured bacterium. Its description in RNAcentral is "bacterial SSU rRNA". It matches the Rfam family "Bacterial small subunit ribosomal RNA", at positions 264 to 842 of the family's 1533-position model. The record is from RNAcentral.
CCCACCGUGGCGACGAUGCGUAGGGGUUCUGAGAGGAAGGUCCCCCACACUGGUACUGAGACACGGACCAGACUCCUACGGGAGGCAGCAGUGAGGAAUAUUGGUCAAUGGGAGAGAUCCUGAACCAGCCAAGCCGCGUGAGGGAAGACGGCCCUAUGGGUUGUAAACCUCUUUUGUCGGAGAACAAAACCCGGGACGAGUCCCGGACUGCGUGUAUCCGAAGAAAAAGCAUCGGCUAACUCCGUGCCAGCAGCCGCGGUAAUACGGAGGAUGCGAGCGUUAUCCGGAUUUAUUGGGUUUAAAGGGUGCGUAGGCGGUCUGUUAAGUCAGCGGUAAAAUUGCGGGGCUCAACCCCGUCGAGCCGUUGAAACUGGCAGACUUGAGUUGGCGAGAAGUACGCGGAAUGCGCGGUGUAGCGGUGAAAUGCAUAGAUAUCGCGCAGAACUCCGAUUGCGAAGGCAGCGUACCGGCGCCAGACUGACGCUGAGGCACGAAAGCGUGGGGAUCGAACAGGAUUAGAUACCCUGGUAGUCCACGCAGUAAACGAUGAAUGCUGGUUGUCCGGGUCGAAUGAGACCUGG